Molecule: small nuclear RNA, 108 nt
Organism: Python bivittatus (Burmese python)
Lineage: Eukaryota; Metazoa; Chordata; Lepidosauria; Squamata; Pythonidae
Source: RefSeq, a predicted model, not a curated record
AUGCUUGCUUGGGCAGCCUGUAUGCUAAAAUUGGAACAAUGCAGAGCAGAUUAGCAUGGCCCCUGUGCAAGGAUGGUGUAGGGGGCUUGGGUGGAGCAAUUGGCCUUU